CUGGGUGGGCUUUGAUGUCCUUUCCAAUCCAAGCCAUUCUGUGAUUCCUCAUCACGCUAAUUGCCUCCUGGCAGCUGAACACAAUCCCACAGGUCCCCAGUGAGCAGCAGCCCCGCACCCAGCAGCCCAGCCAGAUACCAUCUCUGGCACAGAAACCCCACGAUGCUCUUCCAGCAUCUUGUCACCACUGACUUCCCAAAGAAAAGCUGUGCCGUGUGACAGUAAUGACAAAUGGCAUCGGCAGUGUGGCUGCAGGAAAUGCCACAGGAAUGCCCGGCGGGGACAACAGAAAGGAUGCAGGACAAAGGACGGUGUCACUGCCUUGGGCUGAGCUUCCCCAGUUCUCAAGGAAACUGUAACACAGUGUGGAGGACAACAGGCACCAGAGCCCUCAUCAGCAGCAUGCUCUGAGCAUAUCAUUUAAAUACAUCACUUUUCAAGGAGACAAAAGAUGGGCAAAAACUCCCCCCGAUGCCUGACAGUUUGUGCUGAAGAGGAUACUGAAAAAAAAAACAACAAAACAUAUUUGCUUUGGAGGUGGGAGGCAGAAAGAGGGAUGGGGAAGGCAUCUUGUCAAAAACACUUCAGUCUGCAACCAUCAGGAAUUUCCUUUAUUUCAUGUCAGAGUGAAUCAGCAGUGCUCCCCAGCAAGGCAGCAAACCUGAGAGAUGCCACUGCUCUCUGCUUCUGCCCGGCAUCCCGGCUGAGAGCCCCAAACCCAAAAACCUCACUGCUUUGAGCUGGUUAUGCUUGGAUUUUCUUUUUUUUUAAAGAAUGAGUAUUUUCCCACUUUUGUUGUCUGAAUGAAGCGUAACAUAAAGUAACUGAAACUAAUAAGCAUGAAAUUAGGUUGAGAGAUACAAAAAAAAAUAAAAAUCUCCAGAACUUGGUAGAGUGAGAAAAGGGAACACAUGGAUUGCAGGCACAGAGAUGGGGCACAGGCUUCUUGAGAAAUACUGGUAUUUUACUGAGCCCCUCUGAACAGUGCUUUCAGUUCAGAACCUGCUUCAUCAGAGUGUUAUUUAGGUAGAAAAAUCACAGCAAGAUUCUAUAUAAAAACAAAGGAAUCACUUUUUUUUUUUUUUUUCCCAAUUCAGCUCUGCUUAAGAGAUACCCAUCAGGUUUCUGGCUUCCUCCUCCAUUUAUCAGACUGCAUGAGAGGUGAACUUGAGGGGUUAUGGUCACUGAUGCAGAACAUGCAAGAAAUUUUUUUUUUUUUUUUCCUCCAGCAAGUCAAAUACACAGUGAGCACUUAGUAGAGAAUUGUGGAAACAACAGACAAUUAACAACAAAUGAGAUGCCAAAAUCUACAGAUAACUCGAGGUUUCAAGUUUAAAAAGCAUUUAGUAUUUAAGAGGAGAAAUAAGGUUAGGAGAGAAAGAUUGAGAGAAAAAUGGGGAAGGAAAACUAAGAUUUCAGUCCCAUGAUGAGUGAACAUGGGCAGUGGAGGAGUUCCCAACUCAUCUCCCUCUCUGUUGAUGUGAAGUUAAUUCUCUUUCCCACUGAUGCCAGAUGGGACCACAUCAUAAAUCACAUCACUGAAAUGCUAAACAUUUUAUUAUAAAUACAUAUAUAAAAAUAUAUCAAUAAACUUAAUAAUACACACAACUUCACUGGUUUCAGCAGUACCACAGAUAUAGUACAGGUCAUGUCCCACCAGCACUUUUUGCUGAUGCAGCUCAUUAAAACCACAGAUGGAUCUGGGUGGACAAACCCAUGAUCAGUGAAUUCACACAAGGUGCAUGUUUUUGGUGUGGCUGUGGGAUUCUGACCACUGAAAUGCUCAUAGAGUCAUAGAAUCACUAAGGUUGGAAAAGACCACGAAUAUCACCUAGUUCAACCAUCAACCCAUCACAACCACACCUACUAAGCCAUGGCCCUCAGUGCCUCAUACACACGUAUGUACAAACUCUCCAGGGUUCCCCAGGAGGACUUUCCACAAGUCUCCUCCUGUUUACACAUCUCACCCAGAAACCACACGUCCUCCUGUCAGACCAGGUCUCCCAGUGCACAGACGUGCUUGUGGUGCUGGUGUACAUAAAGCAAUAGCUUCUGCAGUCAAACAGAGACCUCAGGUUUUGUUUCAGAGCCAUUCUGGGGUUCUCUCAGUUCCAGAGAACAGCUUGCUAAGUGCACUGCCCUGACUCAGGAACCACAGUGCUUCUCAAAACAACAGAAGUGUCUCCUUUCUUAAACACAAAACAAACAAACUGAAAAAACCAAGCCAACCUCAUGAUGUGCAAAGCCAUGGCAUUCUUGGAGCGGGGGCUGGAAUGGUGAUUCCUGAACUCUCUUAGGACAACGAUGCUGGAAUCGAACUCAUUUGACUUUAUCUUGCAAGGGCCCAGUUCAUGUCAUCCCAUCUGGGGCUCCGCACCAACAAGCACUACUGUGUGUUAAAAGUACUUUCAGUGCUCUGGAAACCAACAGCUUUCGCAGCUUCUACAUAAGAACCUAAAACUCGCUGCUGACCUCUAACAACUAUGAUUCUAUGACAACACAAUACUGGCACUUCCAGUAAACUUCAGCCCGACAUACAGCAACACCACACACGUGAGUUCCAGCCGACACGGCACACAUACACAUACCUUGAUAGAAGACCAGGAAUCAUUUUAAUGGAUUGGCUGUAUUCAUUCCUUAAGUGGACGCACAGAAAUAUGGAUCACAAGAUCCCAACCACAAGAACCUGCAAGCACGAUAUCUGAGGGUCAUCCCACUUAGAGCAGAGGGAAAGGAGUAACAGCAGAGGAUGGCACACAUGCAAACACAGCGAUGCCAUGCCUGGCAUAAGUGCUUCCUUUUGUAUGAGGGUGAGCUAAACCUGCUGGCUUCUACAGUCCGGUCUGCUGCAGUUUGAAACCGGUCUGGGAAUGUACAAAGAAAGUGCCUUCACCGUAUUAAACACCAGCUCUCUUUUUUGGGGCUUUUACUAAAAACACAUUAAAAUCCUUUCAAAGAAAAAGAAUCAAAGUUCGAUACUGCCAGCUUGGGGUGUCUCCUGCAGUGGGUUAUUGCUCCUACAGACACUGGAAACCACGGCUUGCAGCCAGGAGAAGAGAAAAGCAAAUCUGUGGGACUUGCGGACAGAGCAGCUGAAGGAGAGCUCUCCUCCCAUACAACCACAGCAGAGGAGAAAACUCAGACAGGAGAACUUCUUGUGGAGGCCAGGCAGGAGAAACGUCAUUUUAUGGAGAUGAGUAAUCACACAGACUUUGGGCUCAGUGCUGUGGGCUCUGCACGUCCAGGGACUGAACUCACCACAGGUACCAGAGGAGAGGACAAACACCGGGAGCUCGCGGCCCUGCAUCUCUGCAGCAGACACACCGAAGCAAAGAAGGGACUGGCCAAUGACUUUAGAAAUUCACGGGCUUCUUAGCAUUGAUACUCUCGCAACUUGCUGGACCUCAGCUGGCUGGAACUAGUCCGGAGGGCCAUUUGCAAUUCUGCCUUACAAAGGGCUGCUGAGCUCUUCCUAGGACUGAAGCCACAUCUACAUGAGAAAAGCUUCACCGGGACUGAAAUGUGUCACAGAGGCAAAGAACUUGAGUCACAGAUACCCCUUAAACAACAGGGUCCCUCUUCUGCCGGGCUGCUCCCAUCACCUCACUGGGUACCCAGGCGUGCUCUGGCAGUGCUACUUCCAACCCGGUUUCUGGUGGGGACAGCCGGGCCCUCAUUGCUCCCACCCACACCACCUCCAGUCUGGGAACAACCCCUGCCCAAAGCUUAACCCGGAGUUUUAAAACAAGCACAACUCUUCAUAGGUGAGCCAGAUGAUGAGGCAGAGAGCAGCAGUGAUUUACAACCGUCGGUUGUAAAACAGUAUUACAGAGGCACUUGACAUCUUAGUUCUCAGCCCUAAUUUGGAAAGGGACUUUGCUGCAGUUCCUGUCAUUUCUCUUCUAAAAGAUAUGCCAAAACUCCUCAAACUGAUGCUCGAUUAGGACGGGACACAAAAUUCAAGUGGGAAACACUGUGCCUGCCUGGCUGACAGCCCCUGCUGAGCUGUAGGAUGGCUCCAGGCAGAGCUCCCCUGCAGCAGCCGCUGGAGUCACCCAACCCCAUCACCGUCCCGCCCUGUGACCUGGUGGCCCACGGGUAUUAAAGGAGCACCUGCUCGUGGGGAUGGGGAUGCUCCAUUGGAGAGGUGCCCGAGGAACCCCAGGAAGUGGCAAAAACUAGGGUGAUACCACCCAGCUGGAGGUAUUCCUGGGUGCAAAGUGAAAGAAGGGCAGCAGGAGCCCGGAGCCGGGCAGGUGGAGCUCUUCAUACAUCCCAACUGCGCUUCCAAGUUUUAUUCCCAGCGAAGAGGAAACAAAACUGAGGAGCCUUCUGUUUGCCCCCUCAUCCCAAAGGGGGGGAGAGAGGGAAGAAAAAAAAUGAGACAGUUGCGCCACAGCUUUGGAAACCAACUGAAGCCCAAAGGAAGGACACCCCCUUCCAAAAACAAAUAAAUAAAUAAGUGGACGCGACAUGCCCAAGGCCGAGCUUCCCGGUAUUAAGGGGCUCAAACAGAGACUUUCGCGAUCGCAGCGGGGCGGGCGGCUCCGCGCUGCCGGUUUUGCUCCCCGCCGCCCCCCGGCAGCCGCGAGCGGAGGGCUCCGCGCGGCGCAAAGAGGGGACGCGGUGGAGGCGGAGGGGGGGGAAGGUAAUAAAACCGCACGGAAUCACGGCACGACAGUCCCGGCCAACUCCAGCCGCGGGGAGCGGAGCGGCUCCGGGACCCCACUGCCCAACGCCCGCACCCCCCCGGACGCCUUUUGCAUUUUUUUUCGGCUGUUGUUUCCCCUCGCUGGAAGCCGCCGCUCCGUUUUACACACCGCCCCGACAAAUUCGCCCUGCUCGCCUCUACGUAACGCCCUGUCGAAAGCGGACGCCAUAUUUUGUGUUGCUGAUGUCGACAUAGACAAACGUAGACAUGUUUUUUCCCCCCCCCCCGCCUCCUCCUGCCGCCGUCCCCCCUCUCCCCGAACUUGAGAUCCGCGGGGCAGCGCGGAGAAGGGCUGCGCGGGGGGCACGGCGCUGCGGCGAGACGAAACGUAAAAAACCCAUUCCAACC
Phasianus colchicus (ring-necked pheasant) is the source of this 5059-nucleotide non-coding RNA. The record is from RefSeq and is a predicted model, not a curated record. NCBI's taxonomy places the organism in Eukaryota, Metazoa, Chordata, Aves, Galliformes, Phasianidae.